CGGCCAGACUCCUACGGGAGGCAGCAGUGAGGAAUAUUGGUCAAUGGUCGGGAGACUGAACCAGCCAAGCCGCGUGAGGGAAUAAGGCCCUACGGGUCGUAAACCUCUUUUGCCGGGGAGCAACGGGGUCCUUGCGAGGACCCGAUGAGAGUACCCGGAGAAAAAGCAUCGGCUAACUCCGUGCCAGCAGCCGCGGUAAUGCGGAGGAUGCGAGCGUUAUCCGGAUUUAUUGGGUUUAAAGGGUGCGUAGGCGGGCUGUUAAGUCAGCGGUCAAAUGUCGGGGCUCAACCCCGGCCUGCCGUUGAAACUGGCGGCCUCGAGUGGGCGAGAAGUAUGCGGAAUGCGUGGUGUAGCGGUGAAAUGCAUAGAUAUCAGGAGGAACACCAGUGGCGAAGGCGGCUUGCUGGACGAUGACUGACGUUGAGGCUCGAAAGCGUGGGGAGCAAACAGGAUUAGAUACCCGGGUAGG
Molecule: ribosomal RNA, 469 nt
Filed under: uncultured bacterium
Lineage: Bacteria
Description: bacterial SSU rRNA
Rfam family: Bacterial small subunit ribosomal RNA
Source: RNAcentral